GACGAACGCUGGCGGCGUGCUUAACACAUGCAAGUCGAACGGAAAGGCCCUGCUUUUGUGGGGUGCUCGAGUGGCGAACGGGUGAGUAACAGGUGAGUAACCUGCCCUUGACUUUGGGAUAACUUCAGGAAACUGGGGCUAAUCCCGGAUAGGAGCUCCUGCUGCAUGGUGGGGGUUGGAAAGUUUCGGCGGUUGGGGAUGGACUCGCGGCUUAUCAGCUUGUUGGUGGGGUAGUGGCUUACCAAGGCUUUGACGGGUAGCCGGCCUGAGAGGGUGACCGGCCACAUUGGGACUGAGAUACGGCCCAGACGCCUACGGGAGGCAGCAGUGGGGAAUAUUGCACAAUGGGCGGAAGCCUGAUGCAGCAACGCCGCGUGCGGGAUGACGGCCUUCGGGUUGUAAACCGCUUUCGCCUGUGACGAAGCGUGAGUGACGGUAAUGGGUAAAGAAGCACCGGCUAACUACGUG
This 468-nucleotide ribosomal RNA is filed under the name uncultured bacterium. RNAcentral's name for it is "partial 16S ribosomal RNA". It matches the Rfam family "Bacterial small subunit ribosomal RNA", at positions 28 to 507 of the family's 1533-position model. The record is from RNAcentral.